AUUGAACGCUGGCGGCAGGCUUAACACACGCAAGUCGAGCGGGGUGAUGGUGCUUGCACUAUCACUUAGCGGCGGACGGGUGAGUAAUGCUUAGGAAUCUGCCUAUUAGUGGGGGACAACAUCUCGAAAGGGAUGCUAAUACCGCAUACGUCCUACGGGAGAAAGCAGGGGAUCACUUGUGACCUUGCGCUAAUAGAUGAGCCUAAGUCGGAUUAGCUAGUUGGUGGGGUAAAGGCCUACCAAGGCGACGAUCUGUAGCGGGUCUGAGAGGAGUAUCCGCCACACUGGGACUGAGACACGGCCCAGACUCCUACGGGAGGCAGCAGUGGGGAAUAUUGGACAAUGGGGGGAACCCUGAUCCAGCCAUGCCGCGUGUGUGAAGAAGGCCUUAUGGUUGUAAAGCACUUUAAGCGAGGAGGAGGCUCUUUUGGUUAAUACCCAAGAUGAGUGGACGUUACUCGCAGAAUAAGCACCGGCUAACUCUGUGCCAGCCGCCGCAGUAA
This 503-nucleotide ribosomal RNA is filed under the name uncultured bacterium. RNAcentral's name for it is "partial 16S ribosomal RNA". It matches the Rfam family "Bacterial small subunit ribosomal RNA", at positions 30 to 523 of the family's 1533-position model. The record is from RNAcentral.